RNAcentral lists this ribosomal RNA (726 nucleotides) under Centrolene notostictum (Cordillera giant glass frog). RNAcentral describes it as "partial 12S ribosomal RNA". It matches the Rfam family "Bacterial small subunit ribosomal RNA", at positions 309 to 1387 of the family's 1533-position model. The record is from RNAcentral. Lineage: Eukaryota; Metazoa; Chordata; Amphibia; Anura; Centrolenidae.
AGGAGCUGGUAUCAGGCACAACCAAGCUGCCCAAGACACCUAGCUACGCCACACCCANNNNGGAACUCAGCAGUGAUUAACAUUGAACAUAAGCGACAGCUUGACUCANUUAAAGUAAAAAGAGCCGGCAAAUCUGGUGCCAGCCGCCGCGGUUACACCACGUGGCUCAAAUUGAUUUCCAUCGGCGUAAAGCGUGAUUAAAGCCCCAACCUCACUGGAGUCAAACUAAGACUAAGCUGUGACACGCUUGUACUUAAGAAGCCCAAAGACGANNNNNNNNCCAAUACAACCCACUUGAACCCACGACAGCUGAGCCACAAACUGAGAUUAGAUACCCCACUAUGCUCAGCCGUAAACUUUAAAUUACACCCAUAUCGCCAGGGAACUACGAGCAAAGCUUAAAACCCAAAGGACUUGACGGUACCCCACAUCCACCUAGAGGAGCCUGUCCUACAAUCGAUACCCCCCGCUAAACCUCACCACUUCUCGCCCACUCAGCCUGUAUACCUCCGUCGUCAGCUUACCACGUGAGCGCAACUCAGUGAGCUCAAUGCCCUAUACGCCAACACGUCAGGUCAAGGUGCAGCAAAUGAAGUGGGAAGAGAUGGGCUACACUCUCUAACAUAGAAAACACGGAAGACUACUUAUGAAACCUAGNNNNNNNNNNNNNNUAGAAGUAAAAAGAAAAAAGAAUGUUCUUUUUAACUCGGCACUGGGGUGUGUACA